ACUUUGUGUUUGAGUGGGGGUAGGCAAAUAUUUUUCCUGGGGAGCCACAUGAGAAACCCAGAUUGUUGCCGGGGGCCAAACAAAUUCUGUCAGACGUAACCUCUAUUUUAUCACUAGAUUAAUUUAUAGAAAACAUACUGCACACUUAUUUUUCAGCAUUUA
Long non-coding RNA from Sebastes umbrosus (honeycomb rockfish), 162 nucleotides. RefSeq lists it as uncharacterized. Lineage: Eukaryota; Metazoa; Chordata; Actinopteri; Perciformes; Sebastidae. The record is from RefSeq and is a predicted model, not a curated record. The transcript has 3 exons.